Papaver somniferum (opium poppy) is the source of this 2119-nucleotide long non-coding RNA. RefSeq lists it as uncharacterized. The record is from RefSeq and is a predicted model, not a curated record. The transcript has 11 exons. Lineage: Eukaryota; Viridiplantae; Streptophyta; Magnoliopsida; Ranunculales; Papaveraceae.
UUGUGUCUCAACUAAAACAGAAGGAAAAGGAAAAAUAUCCUCCAUUUUCAAUCUUUUAGUUAGGGUUUCUACUUUGAAGACCACCACCACCAGUAGUAUCUCUAGAAACAUGGUCAAAAGAGAUACAUCUUUAUUCCAAAUUGUAUCUAAAGAUAUGUUAGAAAAGGAAAAAUAUGCUGCUUUCUUCCAUAUUCAUUGGUUUGAUUGGGGUUUCUACUUUGAGACAACAAGUUCAUCAGUCACCUCCUUGUUAUCGCAAUGAUGGAAAAGUUAAUCUACUCGGGAGUUCCAGCAAUGGGUCUCAAAUCUAUCUUGUUGGAACUAAUCAUGUUUGUAAAGAGAGUGCUCCUCCAUUAGUCAAAAAAAGGUGAUCGAUUCUAUUAAGCCUCAAGUAGUUGCUGUAGAUUGAGCAGACCAAGAAAGAAAUCGAGGAACCUAGAAACUGGAGACCUGUAAACAUUAAUGAAAGGCUGCUUUAAGAUGUUUUUCAGGUCCAUGAGGUCCCCAGGUGACCUUCAGGAUAAGAUUGAUAUGUUUAGGGAGGAACGUCGCCUGCAGGCAGAUGGCAUCAUUUGAGGAGAGUAGUUCAAGGUAGCAAUAGAAGAAUGUCUACAACAGAAAGAGAAAUUGAUUCCUAUUGAUAGACAACUUGAGGAUUUUCAUAUAUUUAUUCCUUGGGAGAUCCACUUGCAAAGAGUUCUGAACAAAGAAAAGAGCAAUGCACAUUUGAUGGAUGACGGAUCCAGAUCAUAUGUACGGGAAAUAACUCGAGUGGAGCGUAUGCUUGUCCCGGGACAUUGUAAGAUGAUGGUUGAAGAUAGAGAGGUGUAUAUGUUUACAAUGCUUCGAAGGAUGGCAGAGAGACUUAUAGUGGCAGUGGUUGGGAUGGAAUUGAACUAUUAUGGAAACGUGCAGAGGAUGCUGAUGAUGAUAAGCUUCUGCUGGCAACAUCAGAAACUGCGGGUCUGCAGACAGGGUCCUGUAUGUUUCUUGAAGGAGGUAAAGAGAAAUACACAUCGAUCUGUGGUUUGUGUGGCGGCUCCAGCGAAGAUAGUUGAGAAAUGUGAGACAAAGACUUAGAUGAAGACGAUUGCUUGCUGCAGCAUUGGGGAUUUAUAAGCUUUCACCAGUAUUCCAAGAUAGACUGACAGUAUUUACAACGGACUGUAACUCACCAGCUCUCCUUUUCAUAUAUAAUGAACAUUUUCUUUUCUUAGACAGUGAUUUUAGGAAACAACCUCAAACUUUCUUUUUCCAUGAUAGUGAAAGGAUACAAAUGAAGCGGCUCCCAGUGACGAUGAUGUUGAGGAAAUCAAAGAACUAGCCAAAGUACACUAGGAGGGGUGCCAAAAGAAUCCGCCUUCAUAUUCUCACCGAUGGUCGUGAUAUUUUGGAUGGUUCAAGUGUAGGGUUUGUUGAAACUAUUGAGAAUGACCUUGCACAAUUGCGAGCAGAUAGCAUUCAUGCAGAAUUUGGGUCUGGCGAUGUCGCAUGAAUGCCACAAUGGACCAUUACGAGAAUGACUGGGGUGUUGUGAAAAGAGGAUGGGAUGCUCAAGUUCUUGGUGAAGCAGCAUACAAAUUUAAUAGUGCUUUAAAAGCAUUUAAAAACACUGAGGGCAGAACCAAAGGCCAAUGACCAGUACUUGCCUCCAUUUGUCAUAGUCGAUGAUAGUGGCCCAGUUUUGGACGGCGAUGCUGUUGCGACUUUCAACUUUCGUGCGGAUUGUAUGACAACUUCAAAGAUUUUGACCGCACUAGAUUCCCAAAGAUCCGUUAUGCUGGUAUGCUCCAGUAUAUAUCUAUUUGCACCACCAGAUAUUGAGAAGCUCUGGUGGUGUAUACUUGGUGCACAAUGGUGUCCGUACUUUUGCCUGCAGUGACGCUGUUAAGUUCAGGACAUCUUACCUUACUCUGGAACGGGAACAGAUCUGGAUACUUUAAAGAAGAUAUGGAAGCAGUUAAGCAAAAAACAAUUCUAAAAUUUGUAUCUUGUAUGCUGUUCAGUCAAUAGAUAUGUUGCUCUUCCGAUGAUCCAUGAUGAGAUCGAACAAAUUGGUGGAAUUUAUCUUGUUACUGCCGAUCAUAAAGAUAACAACUCUAGCUCUACAAAUAGAGUA